This 306-nucleotide long non-coding RNA is filed under the name Arabidopsis lyrata. Its description in RNAcentral is "long non-coding RNA (ALYR_LNC000874)". The record is from RNAcentral. Lineage: Eukaryota; Viridiplantae; Streptophyta; Magnoliopsida; Brassicales; Brassicaceae.
GUAACAUUGCUAUGAAAUCAUUUGAACUGAAAUUUGUUGAUCUGCGGUUUAUUUUCAAGAGAUCAAAACGAAGAUAAGUGGUGGCACAAGUUUACUUUAGCGAAUUUAUCGCUAUGUUAUCGGGUCUAGCACUCUAUCCACUGAUUUCACGACCACGAGCCUCUAUAUUGCGCCGACUUCUUAAAUGGGCUUAUUCUGAUAUGUUUCCACAAAUUGUAUUGUUGUUAUAUUGUUAGCACAACUUUGCCAAGUUUACAUUUUCUAUAUCAAAUUUCUUUACACUGCUCAUCUAAUCAUGAUCUUGAG